This 497-nucleotide ribosomal RNA is filed under the name uncultured bacterium. Its description in RNAcentral is "partial 16S ribosomal RNA". It matches the Rfam family "Bacterial small subunit ribosomal RNA", at positions 28 to 507 of the family's 1533-position model. The record is from RNAcentral.
GAUGAACGCUGGCGGCGUGCCUAAUACAUGCCAGUCGAGCGAACAGACGAGGAGCUUGCUCCUCUGACGUUAGCGGCGGACGGGUGAGUAACACGUGGAUAACCUACCUAUAAGACUGGGAUAACUUCGGGAAACCGGAGCUAAUACCGGAUAAUAUAUUGAACCGCAUGGUUCAAUAGUGAAAGACGGUUUUGCUGUCACUUAUAGAUGGAUCCGCGCCGCAUUAGCUAGUUGGUAAGGUAACGGCUUACCAAGGCAACGAUGCGUAGCCGACCUGAGAGGGUGAUCGGCCACACUGGUACUGAGACACGGUCCAGACUCCUACGGGAGGCAGCAGUAGGGAAUCUUCCGCAAUGGGCGAAAGCCUGACGGAGCAACGCCGCGUGAGUGAUGAAGGUCUUCGGAUCGUAAAACUCUGUUAUUAGGGAAGAACAAAUGUGUAAGUAACUAUGCACGUCUUGACGGUACCUAAUCAGAAAGCCACGGCUAACUACGUG